RNAcentral lists this ribosomal RNA (240 nucleotides) under uncultured bacterium. RNAcentral's name for it is "partial 16S ribosomal RNA". It matches the Rfam family "Bacterial small subunit ribosomal RNA", at positions 94 to 334 of the family's 1533-position model. The record is from RNAcentral.
AGCGGCGGACGGGUGAGUAACGCGUGGGUAACCUGCCUCAUACAGGGGGAUAACAGUUGGAGACGGCUGCUAAUACCGCAUAAGCGCACAGUACCGCAUGGUACGGUGUGAAAAACUCCGGUGGUAUGAGAUGGACCCGCGCCUGAUUAGGUAGUUGGUGGGGUAACGGCCUACCAAGCCGACGAUCAGUAGCCGACCUGAGAGGGUGACCGGCCACAUUGGGACUGAGACACGGCCCAA